RNAcentral lists this ribosomal RNA (497 nucleotides) under uncultured bacterium. Its description in RNAcentral is "partial 16S ribosomal RNA". It matches the Rfam family "Bacterial small subunit ribosomal RNA", at positions 28 to 507 of the family's 1533-position model. The record is from RNAcentral.
GAUGAACGCUGGCGGCGUGCCUAAUACAUGCAAGUCGAGCGAACAGACGAGGAGCUUGCUCCUCUGACGUUAGCGGCGGACGGGUGAGUAACACGUGGAUAACCUACCUAUAAGACUGGGAUAACUUCGGGAAACCGGAGCUAAUACCGGAUAAUAUAUUGAACCGCAUGGUUCAAUAGUGAAAGACGGUUUUGCUGUCACUUAUAGAUGGAUCCGCGCCGCAUUAGCUAGUUGGUAAGGUAACGGCUUACCAAGGCAACGAUGCGUAGCCGACCUGAGAGGGGGAUCGGCCACACUGGAACUGAGACACGGUCCAGACUCCUACGGGAGGCAGCAGUAGGGAAUCUUCCGCAAUGGGCGAAAGCCUGACGGAGCAACGCCGCGUGAGUGAUGAAGGUCUUCGGAUCGUAAAACUCUGUUAUUAGGGAAGAACAAAUGUGUAAGUAACUAUGCACGUCUUGACGGUAACUAAUCAGAAAGCCACGGCUAACUACGUG